RNAcentral lists this ribosomal RNA (433 nucleotides) under uncultured bacterium. RNAcentral's name for it is "partial 16S ribosomal RNA". It matches the Rfam family "Bacterial small subunit ribosomal RNA", at positions 29 to 507 of the family's 1533-position model. The record is from RNAcentral.
AACGAACGCUGGCGGCAUGCCUAACACAUGCAAGUCGAACGAGACCUUCGGGUCUAGUGGCGCACGGGUGCGUAACGCGUGGGAACCUGCCCUUAGGUUCGGAAUAACUCCCCGAAAGGGGUGCUAAUACCGGAUAAUGUCUUCGGACCAAAGAUUUAUCGCCUUUGGAUGGGCCCGCGUUGGAUUAGCUAGUUGGUAGGGUAAAAGCCUACCACGGCGACGAUCCAUAGCUGGUCUGAGAGGAUGAUCAGCGACACUGGGACUGAGACACGGCCCAGACUCCUACGGGAGGCAGCAGUGGGGAAUAUUGGACAGUGGGCGAAGGCAUGAUCCAGCAAUGCCGCGUGAGUGAUGAAGGCCUUAGGGUUGUAAAGCUCUUUUACCCGGGAUGAUAAUGACAGUACCGGGAGAAUAAGCUCCGGCUAACUCCGUG